RNAcentral lists this ribosomal RNA (253 nucleotides) under uncultured bacterium. RNAcentral describes it as "partial 16S ribosomal RNA". It matches the Rfam family "Bacterial small subunit ribosomal RNA", at positions 524 to 776 of the family's 1533-position model. The record is from RNAcentral.
UACAGAGGGGGCAAGCGUUAUUCGGAAUUAUUGGGCGUAAAGGGCGCGUAGGCGGCUUGGCAAGUGGAAGGUGAAAUCCCUCGGCUUAACCGAGGAACUGCCCUCCAAACUGCUUUGCUUGAGGCCGGGAGAGGCGAGUGGAAUUCCCAGUGUAGCGGUGAAAUGCGUAGAUAUCGUUUGGAACGCCAAAGGUGAAAACAGACGACUGGGAGUGUGCUGACGCUGAGACACGAAAGCCAGGGGAGCGAACGGG